RNAcentral lists this ribosomal RNA (438 nucleotides) under uncultured bacterium. RNAcentral describes it as "bacterial SSU rRNA". It matches the Rfam family "Bacterial small subunit ribosomal RNA", at positions 342 to 791 of the family's 1533-position model. The record is from RNAcentral.
AUGGAGGCAGCAGUGGGGAAUAUUGCACAAUGGGCGAAAGCCUGAUGCAGCGACGCCGCGUGAGGGAUGACGGCCUUCAGGUUGUAAACCUCUUUCAGCAGGGACGAAGCGAAAGUGACGGUACCUGCAGAAGAAGCGCCGGCCAACUACGUGCCAGCAGCCGCGGUAAGACGUAGGGCGCGAGCGUUGUCCGGAUUUAUUGGGCGUAAAGAGCUCGUAGGCGGCUUGUCGCGUCGACUGUGAAAACCCGUGGCUCAACCAUGUGGUCUGCAGUCGAUACGGGCAGGCUAGAAUUCGGUAGGGGAGACUGGAAUUCCUGGUGUAGCGGUGAAAUGCGCAGAUAUCAGGAGGAACACCGGUGGCGAAGGCGGGUCUCUGGGCCGAUAUUGACGCUGGGGAGCGAAAGCGUGGGGAGCGAACAGGAUUAGAUACCCCGGU